AAGUUAAAUUUGUGGCACAAAAACCUAAAACGACACUCUUUUUGGGAUGGAGAGAGUAUGAAUCUGGCCAAAUAUAAAAGCUAUCAUUGAUUUCAUAAAUAUGAAAAAUUCGAAACUGAUCAUUUUUCUUUCUAUACUAUAUUAUUAUUUUAAUCCCAACCUAUUGUCUUUCAUGGCUGACUUGAACUGAUACAUGAGUUGUCCAUCUCAUAAGAAUCAGGGACCGAGAGGUUUUUUCAAAAACGAGAAUCAACAAAUUUUGGUUUUGGUCGUUUUGGUUUGGUUCUACCUAUAACCGAACUAAUCAAGUUCUUAUAUAGGUUUACCAAGCUAAGAAAAAAAGAAAAUAAAAAGCGGUUGUCACCGUUUAAAGGAUGUAAUAGACAUAAAAAAAUAAGACGAUGUAGUAGACACAAAAAAAGAAGACGAUGCACAGUUGCACCGUCCAAAGGAUAGGAAAGGCCUAGAGAAGGGGAGGUAAAUUGGCUUGUAAAAACUUAAAACUCAAUUCAACGGAUUAGCAUAAUGCGGAGGUUCCACAAAUUCUCGCGGAAGUUUUAAAAUGAUAGGUAGUGAGCAUUUGAUUCCUCAUAAGCUUAUCACUUUAUGUCUCUCUUAAUGGUAUGACUUUUCCUAUACUCAAAUUUAAAAUAGAAAUUGGAUGUAAGCCUUUAUUUGGCCAAAUGUAGAGAAAUGUUAUCAUAAUAUAGUAAAUAAUUCAAGUUGAGUGAUGGAUGAUAUGAGCAUGCUAGGGUGUGUAGCUUUCAAUGAACAGGGAUUUAGAGUGUACAAAGACACUGCUUAGAACAUACACGCAUCAAUGAACUAAGUUUUUACUUCAAAUUAAACAGAUUAAAAAAUGUUGGACCAAUAAGCACCCACCUAGAUAGUUGUCAUAUCAAAUUGGAUAAAUUAGAAGAUGUUGGACUGAUAUGCACCCACUUAAUUAGUUGUUGUAUGGUGAGUGCAAUUUACUCUUUAUUAUAUCUACAAAUAUAUGGCACUAUGAGAUGUCAUCUAAAAAAUGCAUAAUUCAACAAUUUCAAUCUGAGCUACUAAAUAUAAUAGAGUGGAUAAAUAAUAUAGGGCCU
RNAcentral lists this long non-coding RNA (1091 nucleotides) under Sorghum bicolor (sorghum). Its description in RNAcentral is "long non-coding RNA (SBIC_LNC007912)". Lineage: Eukaryota; Viridiplantae; Streptophyta; Magnoliopsida; Poales; Poaceae. The record is from RNAcentral.